UACGUAGGGUGCGAGCGUUAAUCGGAAUUACUGGGCGUAAAGUGUGCGCAGGCGGCCGAGCAAGUCGAGUGUGAAAGCCCCGAGCUUAACUUGGGAACUGCGCUCGAAACUACUUGGCUAGAGUGUGGCAGAGGGAGGUGGAAUUCCACGUGUAGCGGUGAAAUGCGCAGAUAUCGGGAGGAACACCUAUGGCGAAGGCAGCUCGCUGGGACGUUACUGACGCUGAGACGCGAAAGCGUGGGGAGCAAACAGG
RNAcentral lists this ribosomal RNA (253 nucleotides) under uncultured bacterium. RNAcentral's name for it is "partial 16S ribosomal RNA". It matches the Rfam family "Bacterial small subunit ribosomal RNA", at positions 524 to 776 of the family's 1533-position model. The record is from RNAcentral.